UAAAACCAGCACCUCAAGUGGUCAGGAGGAUUAUUGGGCCUAAAGCAUCCGUAGCCUGUUCUAUAAGUUUGCGGUUAAAUCUAUACGCUCAACGUAUAGGCUGCCGUAAAUACUGUAGAACUAGGGAGUGGGAGAGGUAGACGGUACUCGAUAGGAAGGGGUAAAAUCCUUUGAUCUAUUGAUGACCACCUGUGGCGAAGGCGGUCUACCAGAACACGUUCGACGGUGAGGGAUGAAAGCUGGGGGAGCAAACCGGAUUAGAUACCCGGGUAGUCCCAGCUGUAAACGAUGCAGACUCGAUGAUGCAAUGGCAUAGAGCUAUUGCAGUAUCGCAGGGAAGCCGUUAAGUUUGCCGCCUGGGAAGUACGUACGCAAGUAUG
Molecule: ribosomal RNA, 380 nt
Filed under: uncultured crenarchaeote
Lineage: Archaea; Thermoproteati; Thermoproteota
Also listed under: 1 other name
Description: bacterial SSU rRNA
Rfam family: Archaeal small subunit ribosomal RNA
Source: RNAcentral